This 725-nucleotide ribosomal RNA is filed under the name Micronematomyces caribensis. RNAcentral's name for it is "eukaryotic LSU rRNA". It matches the Rfam family "Eukaryotic large subunit ribosomal RNA", at positions 111 to 867 of the family's 3401-position model. The record is from RNAcentral. Lineage: Eukaryota; Fungi; Ascomycota; Dothideomycetes; Mycosphaerellales; Mycosphaerellaceae.
AAAUUUGAAAUCUGGCGCAAGCCCGAGUUGUAAUUUGUAGAGGAUGCUUCUGGCCAGCGGCCGUUCUAAGUUCCUUGGAACAGGACGUCAUAGAGGGUGAGAAUCCCGUAUGUGACCGGCGCGCAGCCUUUACGUAGCUCCUUCGACGAGUCGAGUUGUUUGGGAAUGCAGCUCUAAAUGGGAGGUAAAUUUCUUCUAAAGCUAAAUACCGGCCAGAGACCGAUAGCGCACAAGUAGAGUGAUCGAAAGAUGAAAAGCACUUUGGAAAGAGAGUUAAAAAGCACGUGAAAUUGUUGAAAGGGAAGCGCUUGCAACCAGACUUUGCGGCGAUGUUCCGCCGGUCUUCUGACCGGUCUACUCAUCGUCGCGAGGCCAACAUCGUCUGGGACCGCUGGAUAAGACCUAAGGAAUGUGGCUUCCCUCGGGAAGUGUUAUAGCCUGUGGUGAUGCAGCGCGUCUCGGGCGAGGUCCGCGCUUCGGCAAGGAUGUUAGCGUAAUGGUUGUCAGCGGCCCGUCUUGAAACACGGACCAAGGAGUCUAACAUCUAUGCGAGUGUUCGGGUGUCAAACCCCUACGCGUAAUGAAAGUGAACGGAGGUGGGAAGCGCAAGCUGCACCAUCGACCGAUCCUGAUGUCUUCGGAUGGAUUUGAGUAAGAGCAUAGCUGUUGGGACCCGAAAGAUGGUGAACUAUGCCUGAAUAGGGUGAAGCCAGAGGAAACUCUGG